RNAcentral lists this long non-coding RNA (551 nucleotides) under Phoenix dactylifera (date palm). Its description in RNAcentral is "long non-coding RNA (PDAC_LNC021929)". The record is from RNAcentral. Lineage: Eukaryota; Viridiplantae; Streptophyta; Magnoliopsida; Arecales; Arecaceae.
UAGCUUUCGUAUAAUUAGCAGCAUAUCAAAUGGUUUAAGCUAAGCAUAGCCAACAGCUGUUAUUCAGCUGGUUGGGAAGACUUGCCCCUGGGAUGAGUUCAUGUUCGCACCCAUAUUGUGUCACCUUCAUUUAUCUUAAGAAGAAAAAAGGAAAAGCUUUAAGCCUUUAACUUAUCCUUUGGUUUCCUGCUCGGAGCAAUGGAGUGCAAUGCUAUCAGCCAUCUGAUCCUCGUGUACAGGGGACCAAUGCUUGUUGCAGGCGAGAGAUUGGUGCUUGAAAGUAGCAGUCUUUUGAAAAUUAUAUAUAUAUAUAUAAAUAUGUAUGUGUGUAUAUAUAUAUAUAUGUGUGUGUGUGUGUAAAGGUUGUGUACGAGAAAAAUUUCUUUUCCUGUGUGACACUGCGAGUUUCAUGUAAAUCUUGUAUAAAUAAGAAAGUAUCAUUUGUCAUAUAAUACAAGGGGAUUCAUGUAAAUUGCGAGAAUUAGUGUUGUAUAGAAGGCCUGGUUGGAAGGCGACUUAUGAAACCAGCAAAAGCUAUGUCCCAAUGGAAG